RNAcentral lists this ribosomal RNA (497 nucleotides) under uncultured bacterium. RNAcentral's name for it is "partial 16S ribosomal RNA". It matches the Rfam family "Bacterial small subunit ribosomal RNA", at positions 28 to 507 of the family's 1533-position model. The record is from RNAcentral.
GAUGAACGCUGGCGGCGUGCCUAAUACAUGCAAGUCGAGCGAACGGACGAGAAGCUUGCUUCUCUGAUGUUAGCGGCGGACGGGUGAGUAACACGUGGAUAACCUACCUAUAAGACUGGGAUAACUUCGGGAAACCGUAGCUAAUACCGGAUAAUAUUUUGAACCGCAUGGUUCAAAAGUGAAAGACGGUCUUGCUGUCACUUAUAGAUGGAUCCGCGCUGCAUUAGCUAGUUGGUAAGGUAACGGCUUACCAAGGCAACGAUGCAUAGCCGACCUGAGAGGGUGAUCGGCCACCCUGGAACUGAGACACGGUCCAGACGCCUACGGGAGGCAGCAGUAGGGAAUCUUCCGCAAUGGGCGAAAGCAUGACGGAGCAACGCCGCGUGAGUGAUGAAGGUCUUCGGAUCGUAAAACUCUGUUAUUAGGGAAGAACAUAUGUGUAAGUAACUGUGCACAGCUUGACGGUACCUAAUCAGAAAGCCACGGCUAACUACGUG